GUAGGUGGCAAGCGUUGUCCGGAAUUAUUGGGCGUAAAGCGCGCGCAGGCGGUUCUUUAAGUCUGAUGUGAAAGCCCACGGCUCAACCGUGGAGGGUCAUUGGAAACUGGAGAACUUGAGUACAGAAGAGGAAAGUGGAAUUCCACGUGUAGCGGUGAAAUGCGUAGAGAUGUGGAGGAACACCAGUGGCGAAGGCGGCUUUCUGGUCUGUAACUGACGCUGAGGCGCGAAAGCGUGGGGAGCAAACAGGAUUAGAUACCCUGGUAGUCCACGCCGUAAACGAUGAGUGCUAAGUGUUAGGGGGGUUUCCGCCCCCCUUAGUGCUGCAGCUAACGCAUUAAGCACUCCGCCUGGGAGUACGGCCGCAAGGCUG
RNAcentral lists this ribosomal RNA (373 nucleotides) under uncultured organism. Its description in RNAcentral is "partial 16S ribosomal RNA". It matches the Rfam family "Bacterial small subunit ribosomal RNA", at positions 527 to 896 of the family's 1533-position model. The record is from RNAcentral.